RNAcentral lists this transfer RNA (73 nucleotides) under Escherichia coli. Its description in RNAcentral is "tRNA-Pro". The record is from RNAcentral. Lineage: Bacteria; Pseudomonadati; Pseudomonadota; Gammaproteobacteria; Enterobacterales; Enterobacteriaceae.
CGGCUUGCAGUCAAAUUAACCCACCGUCAUGGGGUGUCGGGGGUCGGAGGUUCAAAUCCUCUCGUGCCGACCA